GAUGAACGUUGGCGGUGUGCCUAACACAUGCAAGUCGAGCGAGAAAGUCCCCGCAAGGGGAUGAGUACAGCGGCGAACGGGUGAGUAACACGUGGGCAACCUGCCCUUCGGUCAGGAAUAACCCCGCGAAAGCGGGGCUAAUACCAGAUAAUGUCUUGUGGAGGCAUCUCCAGAAGACCAAAGGGGGCGAGCGAAAGCGGCUCUCGCUGAAGGAUGGGCCUGCGGCUGAUUAGCUUGUUGGUGGGGUAACGGCCUACCAAGGCGACGAUCAGUAGCCGACCUGAGAGGGUGACCGGCCACACUGGGACUGAGACACGGCCCAGACUCCUACGGGUGGCUG
RNAcentral lists this ribosomal RNA (340 nucleotides) under uncultured Nitrospirota bacterium. Its description in RNAcentral is "bacterial SSU rRNA". It matches the Rfam family "Bacterial small subunit ribosomal RNA", at positions 28 to 351 of the family's 1533-position model. Lineage: Bacteria; Pseudomonadati; Nitrospirota. The record is from RNAcentral.